GGAAACUAAGCAUAAGAAUCAAUAUGAAACAUCAAAAGGUUUCUAAAAGUUGACAAUAAAUGAAUAUUGUGAUUUGAAAUUAUUUUUUAGAUUGAAGUUAUAAAGGGCUCUGGAGUGUUUUGCCAGGCAGAAGCAUGGAAAGCAACCCGCCUUGCCACCUCUGCUACUGCCAUGGUGAGGAAUCUGCUAAUGGGCACCUUUGUCCUGGAGACUUUGCUGAAAAGCAACCUAAAUGGUGGGAAGCCAACCAGAGGGGAUGGGGAGCAGCUGGUUGCCCUUGACCAAAUUAAAAAGGCAGCCAUUAUUGGCAUCAACAGAGACUGUAUAAGGUAGGGCACCCAUUAUUUUGACUGUAUCUGCUUAGCACCUAUAAUACUAAUUCAUCGUUUGCUCACUUCUUGAUCCUACCUUUUGUCUUCUUAAGCCACAUUUCUGGGGUAUUGCACUGUAAGGUGUGUUGUCCUCUAUUUUGUAGGACAUAUAGUGUUGCAAAUAACUUCAUGGCAUGUUGUCGUCUGAAGGGUUAAUAAAAAAAUCAUAUUCACCCCUCCUUCACCCUUAAACCAUUCUGUGCUGUGUUUGUGCC
Molecule: long non-coding RNA, 586 nt
Organism: Fundulus heteroclitus (mummichog)
Lineage: Eukaryota; Metazoa; Chordata; Actinopteri; Cyprinodontiformes; Fundulidae
Exons: 3
Source: RefSeq, a predicted model, not a curated record